UUUGGUGAGGAUCUAUCAGGCAGGUUUCUGGAGAGGUGGCCAACAACAUUCAAAAGAAAGAUUAUCCAACAAGGCAGAAAGCUUCCUUCUGCCAGUGACCUAGAAGAACUCUUGCUGGUAGCUGACCCUCCUGAGGAUGCCAUUGAAGUUAAUGCUGGCAUUGGUUGGGACAGUGACCUCUCAACAAUUUUAUUGCUAUUACAUCUGAUUCCACCAUCUGGACAGGGUCGGAAGAGACCAGGAAAGCUCUACAGUGUCAGCUUCCCAAGCGGAAAAGCAUCUUGUGGUCUUUAAGAAGACUGGAACAAAUAUCCAAGAUCAUCUUCAUGCCAUCACUACUAGCACUCAACCCUACCUCCUGGCUGUUGGGGUGAAGAAGAAUAACAUCCACCAGUUCUUUAUUAUUCUUGACAAGAACGCCUUACCAUGCAAGUCAACCUCUUCUCUUGGUUCUUUUGGUGAAUUGUUUAAAGCACAUUUUGUGUUUGGCACAUCUUACAACACCAUGCUUCACAACAUGUACACAUUCAUCCAAACCACUGUGUACAACAUAGAUGUUGGCAAAGUCAAAGAAAGUCCCCGAGUUGCUGA
Non-coding RNA from Paramormyrops kingsleyae, 591 nucleotides. The record is from RefSeq and is a predicted model, not a curated record. Lineage: Eukaryota; Metazoa; Chordata; Actinopteri; Osteoglossiformes; Mormyridae.